GCCCAUCUGUAGAUCUAAUCACCCAAAGUGUCCACAUCCCACUCAAUCCUUUGGUGGGAGAUCCGUGAGCCACCGGCACUCUAGUGGUGACCAAUCAGAGGGGAACUGGGGGAGGGCACAGGAGGGGACUCCAAAGAGAGUGUAUUUAAAGGGGAACGACAGCUUCCUGACUUCAGUUCUAUCCAGAGUUCCUGUUCUUGGAGUGGAGCUAGUGGAGAACGCGCUGACUGACCCGGAGACCCUGUUCCUGGCCAGGCUCUUCUGAUAUCUCUUUGGACUGCGGCUGCGGUGAGUGAAAGGUUGGCUCUUAGCUGUUGGGUUUCUGAAAAGACUAGCCUCAGGAGGGACUGGCCCAGGCCAGUGGCCUGUAGGCGAGGCCUGAGGACUAAAGUCCCCGCCGGACUGAGCCGGACCGGGAGUAAAUGACUUCCUGCCUAGCCGCCCUCCGAGUUUCUUCCUUCACUCUUUCUACACUGACUUCCUGGAGACCCUGGUCUUAAAGCAUCCAGUGCGAUCUUUGGGAUAAAUCGGCCCAUUCCCCGCACGGUAUCAAUUAGGUAGGAGGUGACCCGGCGCUGAACGCUUGAGCCCUCUGGCGCAUCCGCCCACCAAGGUGUUGGCCCCGGGGCUGGGAGAGCCUCGACCCCCUGCCAGUCAGCUUGGAAUUCCGGAGUCGAGAACAGGUCAGGGAGAGAGCCUGGAGCGAAGCCUCCAGAGCGAUUUCUCGGUAGACAGCUUUCCUCAACGUCCCAGUCCACGAUGGGGAAGGGACGACUAUGUUGAGGUGGAAAGUACCGGGCUUAGCUUCCUGCGCGGACAUUCUCAGUGCCUACAAGAAAGAAAAGGAGGAGCCCCCCCAAACUCUUCAAGCAGUUGACCGAAGGUCCCUUGGGAGAUGUCUCUCUGCUCCUUGAAAAGUUAUUGGACCAGAAAUCCCAUGUGGAGCAAGUUGUCCAAAGUGAUAAAGAAACCGUCCUCCAGUACUUUAAGGAGCUUAACCGUAUCUUGGACCUGAAAAAAGAUGCUUUGCUCUCUGCCUUGGAUGAAGUUGGGAGGGCAAUUGAAGAAUACACUCCAUAAAUUGAUAGAAUGAAAGAAAGAGCAGAUGGAAUUAUAGUCAUUCACUGCCUUUUUGUGAGCAAGAAGUUUUGAGCUUUUAAUAAAAAUGGAAUAAUUAAUCA
Molecule: long non-coding RNA, 1181 nt
Filed under: Monodelphis domestica (gray short-tailed opossum)
Lineage: Eukaryota; Metazoa; Chordata; Mammalia; Didelphimorphia; Didelphidae
Description: lncRNA (ENSMODG00000046864.1)
Source: RNAcentral